AAUGCACUUGCUGGGUCGUUUGGUAAUUACACACUUAGUUUUAUAAAAAAUUGCCCAACUGUUUUCCCAAGUGGCUGUAUACCAUUUCACAUUUCUACUAGCAAU
RNAcentral lists this microRNA precursor (105 nucleotides) under Marmota monax (woodchuck). Lineage: Eukaryota; Metazoa; Chordata; Mammalia; Rodentia; Sciuridae. The record is from RNAcentral.